Molecule: long non-coding RNA, 5068 nt
Filed under: Brassica rapa (field mustard)
Lineage: Eukaryota; Viridiplantae; Streptophyta; Magnoliopsida; Brassicales; Brassicaceae
Description: long non-coding RNA (BRAP_LNC003857)
Source: RNAcentral
CUCAACUCUGCGAAUCGCUUCAAUCUUGGUUAUCUCAAAGUGUUAUCGUCUCCAAUCGUACUCUCAACCUCUCACGAUCUCUCGUUUGUAACAGAAACGGUAAAGAAGAAGAAUACAAGAGACACACACGAUUUAACCAGUUCGGGAGCUCGGAAUGAGCUACGACCUACGUCUGGUGCCAGAAGAUCCUGGCAAUUCACUAUGAUCUCUGGUGGUUACAAUCUCUUGAGCUUAACAAGCGUAAUAGCCCAGCUCAACGAGAAAGACGUUAUAACGAUACAAAGACACAAGACUCGUUUGAGUUGUUAUAUAUCUACUCAAACCCUCCUUCUGAUACAGAGUCUCUAUCUUCCCAUCGGUUAACCUUUUCACUAAUAACCCGGUUAACCACAAACCAGCUUGGUUUUGAGUCAGCUUCUCAACAAACUCCACCUUGAAUCAACAACCAAGAUCACAUCAUAGCAAUUGCACUGCGAAUCCUUACACUGGCAAACACAUGAGUCUUUCAAGCUUCUGUGACGUUCAACAGCCUCAAGGCCUCGUUGAACUUAACCACUGGAAUCACCUUAGUCAACAUGUCUGCAGGGUUUCUCGAGCUUGGUAUCUUCAACACUUCAACUUCACCAGACUCAACCCAAUCUCUGAUGAAAUGGUAUUUCGACGCAAAAUGUUUGGUCCUCUCAUGAUACACCUUAUUCUUAGAUAAGCAUAUCGCGCUUUGAGAGUCACACCACACCGCAAACUUCCUCUGCUCAUAACCCAACUCCUCCAGAAUCCCUCUAAUCCAUAUACCUUCUUUCACAGCUUCAGUCAAGGCAAUGUACUCCGCUUCAGUAGUUGAUAGAGCUACUAUCGGCUGCAAGCAUGAUCUCCAACUUACAGUAUUGCCUCCAACUCGAAACACAUACCCUGUUAUCGACCUGCUUCGGUCUCGAUCCGCAGCAUAGUCAGAAUCACUGAAUCCCUCUACAUCAAACUCCUCGUUCUUCUUAUAUGUGAUGCACGUCUUUGACGCGCCCUUGAUGUAUCGCAAAAGCCAUUUCACAGCUUCCCAGUGUAUCUCACCCGGUCUACUCAUAUAUCUGCUGACCAGACCAAUUCCAUAUGCAAGAUCAGGUCUGCUUCCCACCAUUGCAUACAUAAUGCUACCAACUGCACUUGAGUAUGGUACUACUUCGGGAUUCACCAUCUCAGACUCAUCUUCUAUAGCAGCGAGCUUGAAAUGAGCGCCAACCGGAGUGUUAGAGCUUCUACAAUCACUCAUGUUGAACUUCUUCAACACCUUAAGCAAAUAAUCUGACUGAGACAACUUAAGAGUGCCUUUCUCUCUGUUUCUGAAGAUGUCCAUCCCUAAGAUUCUUCUCGCACUUCCUAAAUCCUUCAUUUCAAACUCAGAACCCAAUAGGUUUUUCAGCUUAGUGAUCUCACUCAUAUCCUUUGCCGCGAGCAACAUAUCAUCUACAUAUAGCAGGAGAUACACAAACUUUUUCUCUGCAACCUCCUUUACAUAGACACACUGAUCUUGGACACUUCUCUUGAAGUUCUGUUCUCUCAUGAAUGUGUCAAACCGCUUGUUCCAUUGUCGUGGAGACUGCUUUAAGCCAUAUAGAGAUUUUCUCAAAAGGCAGACUUUAUUAUCUCCACCUUCUUCGAAACCAUCAGGCUGCUCCAUGAAGAUUUCUUCAUCUAACUUCCCAUGGAGGAAAGCUGUCUUUACGUCCAUUUGCUCCAGUUCGAGAUUCUCAUGAACCACUAAUGACAGCAUGAUUCGAAUAGACACAUGUCUCACAACUGGUGAGAACACUUCCUGAUAGUCUAUUCCCUCUCGUUGUGAAUAACCCUUCGCAACUACUCUGCCUUUAUAUCUCUUUGGCUCUCCACCUGGGACUCCAGGCUUUAUUUUGAACAACCAACGGCAACCAAUCACUUUUCUGUCCUUAGGUCUGUCCACAAUAUCCCAUGUCUGGUUCUUCUCCAACGAAGUCAUUUCAUCAACCGCUGCAUCAUUCCACUUCUCCUUAUCUGCACUCCUCAUGGCUUCGUAGUAGUCUUUUGGUUCAUCUACUUCCAUUUCUUCAAAUACAGCCAAUGCAAAAGCCACUUCAGAGUCUUCCGUCAGAUGAUCUGGUGGGGAAGCUUCUUUAUAUCGAAUUGGAGGCACAAUUACUCGUCUCUUUCUGUCUCUAGCUAGCUGAUAAUUAGCUAGAUCAUUGUGUUCCUCCUCCUCUUCAGUUUCUUCCUCCUCUUGUACAGAGACAGGCUCCUCCUCUUCUCUGACUCCCCCUGCUUUACUGCUGGUAGAAGCCUCAUUAUCAUCAGCAACGGCUCUCUCUUCAGCUACUAACUGUCCUUUUCCUUUAUCAAUAACCAGCUCAACCUGAGUGCUUGCCUUUACACCUGACUGACCCAUCUCCUGAGAAGUCUUCUUACCAAUCUCCUUGAACAUCAUCUGCUCCUGAAACUGCACAUUCCUACUGAUCACACACUGCUUCUGAUCAAUCAACCAAACCUUGUAGCCCUUGACCCCUGGAGGGUAACCGAUGAAAACACCCUUCAAUGCUCUCGGUUUCAACUUCCCUUGAUCUGUGUGAACAUACACAACAGACCCAAAAGUCCUCAAAUGUUUAUAUCCCGGCUUCUUGUUUAGCCAUAACUCUUCUGGUAUGUUGUUGUCGAUGGCUGAUGAUGGAGUCCUAUUAAUCAGGUAAGAUGCAGUAGCAGCCGCUUCUGCCCAGAACAUUUCACCCAGACCAGACUGACUAAGCAUACAUCUGACCUUCUCCAUCACAGUGCGGUUCAUACGUUCAGCAACGCCAUUCUGUUGCGGCGUAUACGUGCACGUCCUAUGUCUCUCAAUCCCAUUCUUAUUGCAGAAUGAGUCGAACUGAGUGUUACAAAACUCAAGCCCGUUAUCAGUUCUGAGACACUUCACUUUCUGUCCAGACUGAUUCUCAACUAGGACCUUCCAUUCACAAAACUUCCCAAAAGCUUCAUCUUUGGUCUUCAAGAAAUAAAGCCACACUUUAUGUGAGCAGUCAUCAAUGAUUGACAAGAAGUAAUGGCACUUCGAGAUCGAUGGGUGUACAUUAGGUGAACCCCAUAAGUCAGCAUGGACAUAGCCGAGAACCUUCUCUGUGUCAUGCUUUCCGACUGAGAAACUCACCUUCUUAGCCUUUCCCAUCACACAACUUUCGCAGAAAACCUGAGCACCAACUUCUUUCUGAUCCAGAAUACCCUUACUGACCAGUAUCUUGAGGUUCUUCUCACUGAUGUGACCAAGCCGGUUGUGCCACAAGCUAGAUCCCUGGUUGCUUGACUGCGUUUGGUGUGCCUCCUCAACAACCGUCUCUCCAUCCAAGAUAUAUAGACCCUGUUUCAGAAUACCUCUCAUGCCCAGUCUACCAUUUUUGUGAAACGUCACUUUUCCAUCUCCACCACUGUGCUUGAAGCCCAACUUAUCCAGUGUUCCAGUAGAGAUCAGGUUUCUCCUCAGGUUUGGUACAUAACGGACGUUAUGCAUUACCGUUACUGAACCGCCAUGAGUGUUAAUUCUUACAGAGCCAAUUCCUUUAGCCUCCACGGUGUGAUUAUCUCCUAGUAGGAUUUGGUUUCCAUCAAGCUCAUUGAAAGUAUCAAACCAAUCCCUCCUGGACGUCAUAUGAUAGGUGCAUCCAGAAUCAAUCACCCAGUUAUCUCUUGGAUUCAAGUCAGACACAGCCAAGGCGUCUGAAUACUGCAACUUCUCCACUAUGACAGCAGCUUCACCUUGGUCUUCUCUGUCAAACUUCUUCUUACGAGAGUAACAGUCCUUCCUCAUGUGUCCUUCUUUCUUGCAGUACCAACACACCAUUCGUGACUUUGAGUUAGACCUACUCCGACCAUUCUUCUUAGAGUCUCCUCUCCAUUCAGCUCUUCCUCUCCCCUGAUGGUGAUCCUUCAUGACCAAUCCUUCACCCGCCUCUUUACCAUUCCAACCGCCGUCUUUGAGUUCUCUCUCCUUAUCACGAGCUGCUGCAAUCACUGCAUCUAGUGUGAUAGUAUCUUUUGCGUACUUCAGAGUCUCUUUGAGCUGAUUGUAUCGAGAUGGAAGAGAGCACAGUAAUAAGAUUGCCUGCACCUCAUCUGUAAUAUUGACUCCAACACUGCUCAGAUCAGAUACAAGCUUCAAGAAUUCGUCAAUAUUUGCGUCAAUUGAAACAGAAUCCACCAUCUUGAAGUUGUAGAACUUCAACUGUAAGAAGAUCCUACUCGGGAGAGACUUUGACAUAUACAGCUUCUCGAGCAGCGUCCACAUCGCCGCUGCAGUAGUGCAGUGACUGAUCUUUCUUAGCACAUGAUCGCCAACAUUCAGCACGAUCAGGUUCAUAGCCUUCUCAGACUUCACUAUCUUCUCUGGAUCUUGAGUCACAGAGAUCUCCUUGGACGUUUCAUCGAUCGCUUGAUCAUCGUCAUCUUUCUUCUCGAUCUUGGGUGGAUCCUUCAGGAGUUUAUCAUCUUUCAAAAUCUCCUUCAAUCCCAGGUAACCAAGAUGCGCAAGCAUCCUUAUCUUCCACAACAUGAAAUCUCCAGAUCCGUCGAAUCGCUCGACUUCGAUUCGCGUCUUCGCCAUGUCGACCUGCAUGCUCUGAUACCAAUUGUUAAAUCCUCAACUCUGCGAAUCGCUUCAAUCUUGGUUAUCUCAAAGUGUUAUCGUCUCCAAUCGUACUCUCAACCUCUCACGAUCUCUCGUUUGUAACAGAAACGGUAAAGAAGAAGAAUACAAGAGACACACACGAUUUAACCAGUUCGGGAGCUCGGAAUGAGCUACGACCUACGUCUGGUGCCAGAAGAUCCUGGCAAUUCACUAUGAUCUCUGGUGGUUACAAUCUCUUGAGCUUAACAAGCGUAAUAGCCCAGCUCAACGAGAAAGACGUUAUAACGAUACAAAGACACAAGACUCGUUUGAGUUGUUAUAUAUCUACUCAAACCCUCCUUCUGAUACAGAGUCUCUAUCUUCCCAUCGGUUAACCUUUUCACUAAUAACCCGGUUAACCACAAACCAGCUUGGUUUUGAGUCAGCUUCUCAACA